UACGUAGGUGGCAAGCGUUGUCCGGAUUUAUUGGGUUUAAAGGGUGCGUAGGCGGCUUAUUAAGUCAGUGGUGAAAUACUCUAGCUCAACUAGAGGGGUGCCAUUGAUACUGAUGAGCUUGAGGACGGGAGGGGUGAGUGGAACUCUUGGUGUAGCGGUGAAAUGCGUAGAUAUCAAGAGGAACGCCGGUGGCGAAAGCGACUCACUGGACCGCUCCUGACACUGAGGUGCGAGAGCUAGGGGAGCAAACAGG
This 253-nucleotide ribosomal RNA is filed under the name uncultured bacterium. RNAcentral's name for it is "partial 16S ribosomal RNA". It matches the Rfam family "Bacterial small subunit ribosomal RNA", at positions 524 to 776 of the family's 1533-position model. The record is from RNAcentral.